Molecule: ribosomal RNA, 202 nt
Filed under: uncultured bacterium
Lineage: Bacteria
Description: partial 16S ribosomal RNA
Rfam family: Bacterial small subunit ribosomal RNA
Source: RNAcentral
CAGUUCGGAUUGUAGGCUGCAACUCGCCUACAUGAAGUCGGAGUUGCUAGUAAUCGCGGAUCAGAAUGCCGCGGUGAAUGCGUUCCCGGGUCUUGUACACACCGCCCGUCACACCAUGGAAGUUGGGGGCGCCCGAAGUUGCCUAAGAAAUAAGGUACCUAAGGCGAAACCAAUCGACUGGGUGAAGUCGUAACAAGGUAAC